UUAUCGUUUAUUUGAUAAUACCUUACUACUUGGAUAACCGUGGUAAUUCUAGAGCUAAUACAUGCUGAAAAUCCCGACUUCGGAAGGGAUGUGUUUAUUAGAUAAAAAACCAAUGCCCUUCGGGGCUCUUUGGUGAUUCAUGAUAACUUUACGGAUCGCAUAGCCUUGCGCUGGCGACGGUUCAUUCAAAUUUCUGCCCUAUCAACUUUCGAUGGUAAGGUAUUGGCUUACCAUGGUUUCAACGGGUAACGGGGAAUUAGGGUUCGAUUCCGGAGAGGGAGCCUGAGAAACGGCUACCACAUCCAAGGAAGGCAGCAGGCGCGCAAAUUACCCAAUCCCGACACGGGGAGGUAGUGACAAUAAAUACUGAUACAGGGCUCUUUUGGGUCUUGUAAUUGGAAUGAGUACAAUUUAAACCUCUUAACGAGGAACAAUUGGAGGGCAAGUCUGGUGCCAGCAGCCGCGGUAAUUCCAGCUCCAAUAGCGUAUAUUAAAGUUGUUGCAGUUAAAAAGCUCGUAGUUGAAACUUGGGCCUGGCUGGCGGGUCCGCCUCACCGCGUGCACUCGUCCGGCCGGGCCUUCCUUCUGAAGAACCUCAUGCCCUUCACUGGGCGUGUUGGGGAAUCAGGACUUUUACUUUGAAAAAAUUAGAGUGUUCAAAGCAGGCCUUUGCUCGAAUACGUUAGCAUGGAAUAAUAAAAUAGGGCGUGCGUUUCUAUUUUGUUGGUUUCUAGAGACGCCGCAAUGAUUAACAGGAACAGUCGGGGGCAUCAGUAUUCAGUUGUCAGAGGUGAAAUUCUUGGAUUUACUGAAGACUAACUACUGCGAAAGCAUUUGCCAAGGAUGUUUUCAUUAAUCAGUGAACGAAAGUUAGGGGAUCGAAGACGAUCAGAUACCGUCGUAGUCUUAACCGUAAACUAUGCCGACUAGGGAUCGGGCGAUGUUCUUUUUCUGACUCGCUCGGCACCUUACGAGAAAUCAA
RNAcentral lists this ribosomal RNA (982 nucleotides) under Alternaria sp. RNAcentral's name for it is "SSU rRNA". It matches the Rfam family "Eukaryotic small subunit ribosomal RNA", at positions 110 to 1101 of the family's 1831-position model. The record is from RNAcentral. Lineage: Eukaryota; Fungi; Ascomycota; Dothideomycetes; Pleosporales; Pleosporaceae.